AGAGUUUGAUCCUGGCUCAGAGGACGCUAGCGGAGCCUACCCAUGCCAACCGAGCGGUAGAGAUCUUUCGGAUCUGAGAGCGGCGUACCGGUGCGGAAACACGUGUGCAACCUGCCUUUAUCUGGGGGAUAGCCUUUCGAAAGGAAGAUUAAUACCCCAUAAUAUACUGAAUGGCAUCAUUCGGUAUUGAAAACUCCGGUGGAUAGAGAUGGGCACGCGCAAGAUUAGAUAGUUGGUGAGGUAACGGCUCACCAAGUCUGCGAUCUUUAGGGGGCCUGAGAGGGUGAUCCCCCACACUGGUACUGAGACACGGACCAGACUCCUACGGGAGGCAGCAGUGAGGAAUAUUGGACAAUGGGUGAGAGCCUGAUCCAGCCAUCCCGCGUGAAGGACGACGGCCCUAUGGGUUGUAAACUUCUUUUGUAUAGGGAUAAACCUACCCUCGUGAGGGUAGCA
This 456-nucleotide ribosomal RNA is filed under the name Flavobacterium sp. iEDC16. Its description in RNAcentral is "bacterial SSU rRNA". It matches the Rfam family "Bacterial small subunit ribosomal RNA", at positions 8 to 473 of the family's 1533-position model. Lineage: Bacteria; Pseudomonadati; Bacteroidota; Flavobacteriia; Flavobacteriales; Flavobacteriaceae. RNAcentral also lists the same sequence under 1 other name. The record is from RNAcentral.